GGAAAUCGCUUUAAUGUAUUGGAUUCCUUUCUUUUUAAAAAAUUUUAUUUGUGUAUAUGUGUUAAUGUACUUGUUUCCUUUCAUUUUAAUUUUUUUUUUGAGACAGGGUUUCUCUGUAUAGCCCUGGCUGUCCUGGAACUCACUUUGUAGACCAGGCUGGCCUCGAACUCAGAAAUCCACCUGCCUCCCAAGUGCUGGGAUUAAAGACAUGUGCCACCAGGCCCGGCUUUCAUUUUAAUAUUUUAUUUGUAUGUGUGUGUAUGUGUGUAUACACAUGUGUGCAAGAGUGCACACACAAUACAGGUGCAAGUGGAGGCCAGAGGAGGUCACUGGGUCUCCCAGAGCUAAGGUUGGAGGGAGCUGGGAGCUGUCUGACAUGGGUGCUGGGAUCUAAACUCAGGUCCUCUGCAAGAGUAAGUACUCUUAGCUGCUGAGCCCUCUCUCCAGCCCCUAAUUUAAUAUCUUUUUGAUAUAUAACUAGGCUUGGGAUUGGUCGAUCAUAUGAAAGUUCUAUUAAUUUUUUGAGGAACUUAACAAUGGCUCUGUAAUUUUACACCCCUACCAACAGUGUGUAAAGGCCCCCUCUUCUUCAUUUUCCAGACAACACUUUUAGUGGGUUUUUUUUUCUUCUUGCUCCAGUCCCACUUGCUAUGGCCCAAAGAUUUAUUUAUUAUAUGUAAGUACACUGUAGCUGUUCAGACACACCAGAAGAAGGCAUCAGAUCUCAUUACAGAUAGUUGUGAGCCACCAUGUGGUUGCUGGGAUUUGAACUUAGGACCUUUGGAUGAGCAAUCAGUGCUCUCAACCACUGAGUCAACUCUCCAGCCCUAGUGUUUUUGUUAAUAGCCAUCCCAACUAGUGUGAAGUGAUUGUUUUAAAUUUUGUCAUGGAUUUAUUUGGACAGUCCCACUGUGGCGAUCUGGCUAGCCUUCAGGUUGUGGAUCUCGGCCUUUUGAGCAUUGGCAAUAGGGUGGAUAGGGUAGGCACUGGUCCUGACUAUUCUUUUGAAUUUCAUUUCCUGGUGAUUAGGGAAGCUGGGGACCUUUGCAAAGCUUUCUCGUCAUCUGUACAUCCAUCCUCCUUUGAGAGAUGUCUAUUUAGGCUUUGUCCGUUUUUCCAUUGACUUGGCUGUCCGCUGACUGUUGAAUUUCCUUUCCUUUCCUUUCCUUUCCUUUCCUUUCCUUUCCUUUCCUUUCCUUUCCUUUCCUUUCCUUUCCUUUCCUUUCCUUUCCUUUCCUUUUCUUUCCUUUCCUUUCCUUUUCUCUUCCUUCCUCCCUCCCUCCUUCCCUUCCCUUCCCUUCCUUCCUUCCUUCCUUCCUCUUUUCUUUUCUUUUCUUUUUUCUUUUCUUUUCUUUUCUUUUCUUUUCUUUUCUUUUCUUUUCUUUCUUUCUUUCUUUCUUUCUUUCUUUCUUUUUUUUUUUUCUUUUCUCGAGACAGAGUUUCUCUGUGUAGUCCUGGCUGUCCUGGAACUCAGUCUAUAGACCAGGUUGGCCUUGAACUCAAAAAUCCACCUGCCUCUGCCUCCCAAGUACUGGGAUUAAAGGUGUGUACCACCA
Molecule: long non-coding RNA, 1556 nt
Filed under: Mus musculus (house mouse)
Lineage: Eukaryota; Metazoa; Chordata; Mammalia; Rodentia; Muridae
Description: long non-coding RNA chr6:86591393-86592949
Source: RNAcentral